GACGAACGCUGGCGGCGUGCCUAAUACAUGCAAGUAGAACGCUGAAGGAGGAGCUUACUUCUCUGGAUGAGUUGCGAACGGGUGAGUAACGCGUAGGUAACCUGCCUGGUAGCGGGGGAUAACUAUUGGAAACGAUAGCUAAUACCGCAUAAGAGUAGAUGUUGCAUGACAUUUACUUAAAAGGUGCAAUUGCACCACUACCAGAUGGACCUGCGUUGUAUUAGCUAGUUGGUGGGGUAACGGCUUACCAAGGCGACGAUACAUAGCCGACCUGAGAGGGGGAUCGGCCAAACUGGGACUGAGACACGGCCCAGACUCCUACGGGAGGCAGCAGUAGGGAAUCUUCGGCAAUGGACGGAAGUCUGACCGAGCAACGCCGCGUGAGUGAAGAAGGUUUUCGGAUCGUAAAGCUCUGUUGUAAGAGAAGAACGAGUGUGAGAGUGGAAAGUUCACACUGUGACGGUAUCUUACCAGAAAGGGACGGCUAACUACGUGCCAGCAGCCGCCGUAA
RNAcentral lists this ribosomal RNA (511 nucleotides) under uncultured bacterium. RNAcentral's name for it is "partial 16S ribosomal RNA". It matches the Rfam family "Bacterial small subunit ribosomal RNA", at positions 28 to 523 of the family's 1533-position model. The record is from RNAcentral.